GGUGAACGCUGGCGGUAGGCCUAACACAUGCAAGUCGAACGGCAGCACAGUAAGAGCUUGCUCUUACGGGUGGCGAGUGGCGGACGGGUGAGGAGUACAUCGGAAUCUACUUUUUCGUGGGGGAUAACGUAGGGAAACUUACGCUAAUACCGCAUACGACCUACGGGUGAAAGCAGGGGAUCUUCGGACCUUGCGCGAUUGAAUGAGCCGAUGUCGGAUUAGCUAGUUGGCGGGGUAAAGGCCCACCAAGGCGACGAUCCGUAGCUGGUCUGAGAGGAUGAUCAGCCACACUGGAACUGAGACACGGUCCAGACUCCUACGGGAGGCAGCAGUGGGGAAUAUUGGACAAUGGGCGCAAGCCUGAUCCAGCCAUACCGCGUGGGUGAAGAAGGCCUUCGGGUUGUAAAGCCCUUUUGUUGGGAAAGAAAAGCAGCAGGUUAAUACCCCGCUGUUCUGACGGUACCCAAAGAAUAAGCACCGGCUAACUUCGUG
This 492-nucleotide ribosomal RNA is filed under the name uncultured bacterium. RNAcentral's name for it is "partial 16S ribosomal RNA". It matches the Rfam family "Bacterial small subunit ribosomal RNA", at positions 28 to 507 of the family's 1533-position model. The record is from RNAcentral.